RNAcentral lists this ribosomal RNA (466 nucleotides) under uncultured bacterium. RNAcentral's name for it is "partial 16S ribosomal RNA". It matches the Rfam family "Bacterial small subunit ribosomal RNA", at positions 29 to 506 of the family's 1533-position model. The record is from RNAcentral.
ACGAACGCUGGCGGCGUGCUUAACCCCUGCAAGUCGAACGGAAAGGCCCUGCUUUUGUGGGGUGCUCGAGUGGCGAACGGGUGAGUAACACGUGAGUAACCUGCCCUUGACUUUGGGAUAACUUCAGGAAACUGGGGCUAAUACCGGAUAGGAGCUCCUGCUGCAUGGUGGGGGUUGGAAAGUUUCGGCGGUUGGGGAUGGACUCGCGGCUUAUCAGCUUGUUGGUGGGGUAGUGGCUUACCAAGGCUUUGACGGGUAGCCGGCCUGAGAGGGUGACCGGCCACAUUGGGACUGAGAUACGGCCCAGAGUCCUACGGGAGGCAGCAGUGGGGAAGAUUGCACAAGGGGCGGAAGCCUGAUGCAGCAACGCCGCGUGCGGGAUGACGGCCUUCGGGUUGUAAACCGCUUUCGCCUGUGACGAAGCGUGAGUGACGGUAAUGGGGAAAGAAGCACCGGCUAACUACGU